Molecule: ribosomal RNA, 515 nt
Filed under: Shigella flexneri
Lineage: Bacteria; Pseudomonadati; Pseudomonadota; Gammaproteobacteria; Enterobacterales; Enterobacteriaceae
Description: bacterial SSU rRNA
Rfam family: Bacterial small subunit ribosomal RNA
Source: RNAcentral
GGUGAGUAAUGUCUGGGAAACUGCCUGAUGGAGGGGGAUAACUACUGGAAACGGUAGCUAAUACCGCAUAACGUCGCAAGACCAAAGAGGGGGACCUUCGGGCCUCUUGCCAUCGGAUGUGCCCAGAUGGGAUUAGCUAGUAGGUGGGGUAACGGCUCACCUAGGCGACGAUCCCUAGCUGGUCUGAGAGGAUGACCAGCCACACUGGAACUGAGACACGGUCCAGACUCCUACGGGAGGCAGCAGUGGGGAAUAUUGCACAAUGGGCGCAAGCCUGAUGCAGCCAUGCCGCGUGUAUGAAGAAGGCCUUCGGGUUGUAAAGUACUUUCAGCGGGGAGGAAGGGAGUAAAGUUAAUACCUUUGCUCAUUGACGUUACCCGCAGAAGAAGCACCGGCUAACUCCGUGCCAGCAGCCGCGGUAAUACGGAGGGUGCAAGCGUUAAUCGGAAUUACUGGGCGUAAAGCGCACGCAGGCGGUUUGUUAAGUCAGAUGUGAAAUCCCCGGGCUCAACCUG